This 253-nucleotide ribosomal RNA is filed under the name uncultured bacterium. RNAcentral's name for it is "partial 16S ribosomal RNA". It matches the Rfam family "Bacterial small subunit ribosomal RNA", at positions 524 to 776 of the family's 1533-position model. The record is from RNAcentral.
UACGUAGGGUGCGAGCGUUAAUCGGAAUUACUGGGCGUAAAGCGUGCGCAGGCGGUUCGUUAUGUCCGAUGUGAAAGCCCCGAGCUUAACUUGGGAAUGGCAUUGGAAACUGGCGGGCUGGAGAGCGGCAGAGGGGGGUGGAAUUCCACGUGUAGCAGUGAAAUGCGUAGAGAUGUGGAGGAACACCGAUGGCGAAGGCAGCCCCCUGGGCCGACACUGACGCUCAGGCACGAAAGCGUGGGGAGCAAACAGG